This 467-nucleotide ribosomal RNA is filed under the name uncultured bacterium. RNAcentral describes it as "SSU rRNA". It matches the Rfam family "Bacterial small subunit ribosomal RNA", at positions 26 to 518 of the family's 1533-position model. The record is from RNAcentral.
AGGACGAACGCUGGCGGCGUGCCUAACACAUGCAAGUCGAACGGGGCCCGCAAGGGUUCAGUGGCGAACGGGUGCGUAACACGUGAAGAAUUUGUCCAACGGCGGGGGAUAGCCGGCCCAACGGCCGGGUAAUACCGCGUACGACCUUCGAGGGGCAUCCCUUGAUGGUGAAAGCCGCAAGGCGCCGAUGGAGAACUUCGCGGCCUAUCAGCUAGUUGGUGAGGUCAUGGCUCACCAAGGCGACGACGGGUAGCUGGUCCGAGAGGAUGACCAGCCACAUUGGGACUGAGACACGGCCCAGACUCCUACGGGAGGCAGCAGUGGGGAAUAUUGCGCAAUGGGCGAAAGCCUGACGCAGCGACGCCGCGUGUGGGAUGACGGCCUUCGGGUUGUAACCACUGUCGGGAGGGACGAGAUCUGACGGUACCUCCAAAGGAAGCACCGGCUAACUCUGUGCCAGCAGCCGC